This is an RNA transcript of Eucalyptus grandis, 1297 nucleotides long. It is a transcript of the gene named insulin-degrading enzyme-like 1, peroxisomal, with no coding region annotated. The transcript is spliced from 5 exons. NCBI's taxonomy places the organism in Eukaryota, Viridiplantae, Streptophyta, Magnoliopsida, Myrtales, Myrtaceae. The record is from RefSeq and is a predicted model, not a curated record.
UUCAAGUUUGAUGAGCCAAGAUAUCAUGCCUCAUAUUAUCGCUCUUUAAUAUUAAAUUACCAUUCAUGGCCUUGGGAGGAAGAUCUAGAAAUACUUGAGACUCUUCAGCCUGAAGACCUUUCUCGGUUUGCACCUACAAUGCUCUCGAGAGCAUUCUUAGAGUGGAAUAUAGAGCGUGAUGAAGCAGUCAAUUGUUGAUCAUGUCGAAGAUGUUUUCUUUAAUGGUUCUCAUCCUAUAUGCAAGCUUGUGCUCCAAUCCAGCUCAUGACAAGCAGACUCGUCACACUUGACGAGGGUGUAAAUUACGUCUACUCAACUGAAGGCCUAAACCCAAAUGAUGAGAAUUGUGCAUUGCUUCACUAUAUUCAGAUCCAUCAAGAUGACAUUACUUUGAACAUACAACUUCAGCUUUUGGCAUUUAUUGCAAGGCAUGAAGCCUUCCACCAGCUCAGAACAGUUGAGCAACUUGGUUAUGUCUGUUUGCUCACACAUUGGUAAAACCAUUUAAUUUCUCCUUUCUUCUCCCCAGAUGUGUGUUCUGCUAAUUAUUCUAAGGGUUUCGUGCAGAUAUGACCUCGGUGUCUGCUGUGAAGGGUCCAAGGUACAUCGACACACGGGUCUUGAGCUUUCUUGAGUCUUGCGAAAGUAAACUCCUUAAGAUGAGUGAGGUUGAUUUCAAGGUGAGUUGUUUCUCCCGUGUUCCAUCAUGAAAAUCAUGUCAGCUUGUCAAAUAAUCUUUAAACCAUUACAUCGAACCUGUGGAAUUUCUGCCUUUGACAAAGCCAUUUAAACACACUAAUUGAAUUGAAGAUGGAGAAGGACAAGAAUUUGUGGGAAGAAUAUGAGCAUCACUGGGAAGAGAUAACUGAUAGAACUUUCCUAUUUGAUCUAAUAGAAACUAAGGUCGCAGCAUUAAGGAAGCUGGCAAAACAAGAAUUGAUAGCUUUCUUCAACAAGCACAUACGAAUUGGAGCGCCCAAGAGGAAGGUGCUUAGUGUACGAGUUUAUGGGAGCAAGCAUUCAUCAAAUUUUGAAGUGGAUAACAAUGAAGCAGUUGGACCAAACACAGUACGAAUAGAUGACAUUUUUAGCUUCAGGGCAUCGCAACCUCUUUACGGUUCACAUAGAAGAGGGUAUGAACAUAUGGAAGUUCACAACAAUUCUAAAUAAGCUAGAAUUGAGGAUCUUGGAUAAUGUACUCCUGAAACAUUUCUCCAAAAUUUAUACUACCAUGCCACACUUGCCCUGUGGCAUUUGUACCUUAUAGCGUUUUAGUGUUUGGUGUGUGUAAAUGACU